UCCAGUAAAGGGUAAACCUGCCGAAAGGCAGGGACACAAAGUCUCGGGUCUACUGUAGAGAUGCUGGAGCUACUACGACGGCCGGACUGCCUGG
Non-coding RNA from Paenibacillus riograndensis SBR5, 94 nucleotides. NCBI's taxonomy places the organism in Bacteria, Bacillati, Bacillota, Bacilli, Caryophanales, Paenibacillaceae. The record is from Rfam.